This 253-nucleotide ribosomal RNA is filed under the name uncultured bacterium. Its description in RNAcentral is "partial 16S ribosomal RNA". It matches the Rfam family "Bacterial small subunit ribosomal RNA", at positions 524 to 776 of the family's 1533-position model. The record is from RNAcentral.
UACGGAGGGGGCUAGCGUUGUUCGGAAUUACUGGGCGUAAAGCGCGUGUAGGCUGCUUCGCAAGUCGGAUGUGAAAGCCCUGGGCUCAACCCAGGAAGUGCAUUCGAAACUGCAGAGCUGGAGUCCUGGAGAGGAAGGCGGAAUUCUCGGUGUAGAGGUGAAAUUCGUAGAUAUCGAGAGGAACACCGGUGGCGAAGGCGGCCUUCUGGACAGUGACUGACGCUGAGACGCGAAAGCCAGGGGAGCAAACGGG